This 15409-nucleotide long non-coding RNA is filed under the name Cicer arietinum (chickpea). RNAcentral's name for it is "long non-coding RNA (CARI_LNC002372)". Lineage: Eukaryota; Viridiplantae; Streptophyta; Magnoliopsida; Fabales; Fabaceae. The record is from RNAcentral.
UUUAUUCAUUUCAAUUUGCAUAUUAAGAUAACAUAUAGCACCAUAUUACAAAAUGCAUAUCACAAAAAUAUAAUAGAUAUAUCUAUAAUCCUCGAUUAAUGGAUACAUGUAUCCAAUAAGAGGUAAUUAUUUAGCUAUAAAUAUAGAUAUUAUAAUAAUAUUCUCACACUCACAUUAUAUAAUAUAUAAUAAAACACAAGCCAUGGUGUCACAAUCUCAUUCAUGAUCAUGGCUGGCUUUUAGUUGGUGGAGUUAAAGAAUUUGUAGGAAAGCAAUCUGCUUUGUAGAUAUCACAAAAUAAGGGUGGAUCAAUAUUGAGCUCACAAAGUUUUUUCAACUCUUCACAAGAUAUCUGAGGAGGCACAAUUGGAGAUUGAGUUUGAGUAUCGUAAACAAGAUAAUGAUCUUUCUCUAUUUCAUCACCAUAAGCACAAUUGCCAUUCAGAAUUAAUGCCACAACAAGAACAACUACAACAAAUGAAGUAGUGAUGGUUUUUGCCAUAGUGUAUUAAAAUGAUAUUACACUUUUUUUAAUUUGUUUUUCUCUUAUUUCUUGGGAUGAAUUGGUUCCUUAAUCGCUCCAAUUUAUAGAGCUAAUGUUUUGCAUAAAUAACAAGUGAAUUUAAUACGGCUUUGCGUGAGGAAAAUAAUUUUCUUAAAAUUGAAGACCGAGGUGGAACCAUUAAUUAGUAUUAAGUAUUUUUAAUGUGUUGUUUCCUUUUAUGAUUAUUAUUUAAUUAAGGUUGAUUGACUAGCUUAUUAAUAGGAGUGAAUGACAUAGUGGAAAUUUUAUGUUGGUUGUGAGAAUUAUACUAUAUCAAGCUCAAAAAGCUUUGUGGUAAUUAAUUGAUAUUGGUGGUUGAAAACUAAUUUGCUUUCUAAUUAGGAACUAAUUGAACCAACUCUAGUUCAACCGUAGUUCGACUAGACUAGAAGUAUAGAUGUGAAUAGGAACCAUGAGUUAGCCCAAAUUAAUUGUAAAAAAAAUAAAAUUGAAACAACACUUAUUCAGUAAAUACCUUAUAAAAAUGAAAAUAAAUUAAAUUACUUAAAUUAAUUUUAACAAAAUAUCUCAUAUAUUUCAUGUUGAAACUUUUAUAAAAUUAUUAUCCAAAGUAAUUUACAUUAUUGUAAAAUUUCUUCAUCAAAACACAAUUUUACUAAUUCUAUAUAUCUUUAGGAGUUGUUUAAUUAUCUAUCUCAAAUUUCAGAAAUAUAUUGGAUUCUCCUUUAAAUUGGAGUGAAAUAUAUUACUGAAAUCGUAAGGUUAUAUUCAUUACAUGAUAAAUUUGUUAUUGACUUAUUUUUUCUCUUUUAAUUUAUUUAUUAUUGUCUGAUUCAAUUAUGAUUUAAUCUGUAGAAUCAAUUAAAUCGCAAUUCAAAAACUACGUCAAUUUGAUAUUAGAUUCAGUUUUUAAAACAUUGUCUUGCAUUUUUACCAGAAAAAAGUAAAACUGCAAUGUGUAGUGAAAAAUUUCAAUAGGGCAAAUGAAGCACAUGGAAUUAGACAAUUACAAAACAAUUUAAUUAUAAUUAUCAUUCUUUGUAGGAAGAAAUCUUGGAUGGUAUAACUUUCUAUAAUGUCCCAAAAAUAUAUUUGAAAAAAUUCAUAUACCUCUUUAAUUAUGUGUUUUGCUAGGUUUCCUUAGUUUAGAGAAAGUAUUUUCUUUAUGUUCUAUAUUUUGGUAUUAAUUUUUAAAAAGAUUAUACAUACUUUUGUUUAUGCGAUUAAAAUAUUACAUAUUAUUGAUAUCUAUUCCAUGUGAUUUUAUGUUAUUUAUAUUGACAUAAGUUAACACUUUUAUUGAUGGGAUGGGGUGGUAGUUAAGAUUUAAUUGCAUUUUGGGUUAGUGACACAUGGAACAUAAAGAAAAUAAAUAAUAUGAUAUUUCCAGAUUGCAAUAAAAAUAAAUAAAUAAAUAAUAUUGAGAUGCAUGUCUAAAGAAAUUUUGAUAUGAUUAUUUUGAUAUGUAGGUUAAGUGAAAGAUUGUUAAAAUAUUUUCCAAAAAUUUAUAUGCGAUAAUAUUUUAUAAUAACAAUAUUGAUAAAAUUGUUUAAUUUCACAUGGUUGAAAACAAAGUGAGCUCGUUAAACAUCUAAAAUAAAUAAAUAAGUUGAUAUGAGCUUUUGUAUAUAUAUGAGUGAACAAUGUUGGCCCAUUAGACAAUAAUUACACCUUUGUAUUCCGAAAUAUAAACAAAUACACAUUAAACUCUUUAAUGUUCUCCUAUUGUAAGUGUAGACCAAGAUCUUCAAUACACUUAAUCACCAUAACUCUUUAAUGUUCUCCUAUUGUAAAGGAGUAGGGGAUUAUUUAUUUCUCAAAAGAAAUUAAGAACGUAAUUACACAAUUUUGUAAUAAUGAUAAAUAAUGAGACCGUAUUUUAUUUUUAUUUUUUUGCAAUGGAGUAUAAAUUUUAUUCAUUUGUUAAAAGAAAUAUAAAUUUCAAUUGCUAAUGUUAGGGGGUGUUUGUUUGAAGUCUAAAAAUCACAUUCCCAAUCCCAAGAAUACAUGGAAUGAAAAUGAGUAUUAUUUAUUAGAAGGUUGAGAGAAAAAAUAUUAUUCCAAAACAUAAAAAUUUCUAGGAUAUAGAGAUAACUUUCUUAAUUCCCAUGGAAUUUUAUAUAAUAAUUUUUAAAAAAUAAAAUCUUAUAACUAUCAAUUUUUCGAAGAAGGUAAUUUAAUUGUAGGCCAAACACAUGCUUAAUAAAUUAUCCAUGAAUCAAAUAUUAAUCCUUAUAUUCCCAAAUAAAUUUAUUAGAAUAAUUUUUUAGUUUGCGAAACAAACACCAAGGCCCAUAAUUUUUGAAUGGUGACAUAAUCAAACACUUAUAUAUACUCAAAAUUUUAAUAAUGAAAUUCUCCAUUUCAUUUUAAAAAUGACAGAUAAUUUCUGUUAUUGAAAAAAAUUGUUUCCUCUACAUAAUUGAUGGGAAAAAUACACAAGUACAAAGAUAAAAUUUAUUUAUUUUAUAUAAUGUUGAUAUACAUCACCAUAACACAUUAAUAUAUCACCAUGUAGAUUACAAAAUCCAUAUCACAAAAAUAUAAUAUAUCUAUAUUCCUCGAUUCAUGGAUCGACAUAUUCAAUAAGAGGCCCCACCUAUGAAGAUAAUUUAUUUAGCCAUAUAUAUAAUUUUUAUAUUAUAAGAACACUCACACUCACACAACAUUAUGUAAUAGAUGAAUAUGUGAAUAAUACACUAUUCAUGAUCAAGGAUGGAUUUGAGGUUGUGGAGCUUCACUAGGAAGGCAAUUCUUUUGGUAGAGAGGACAAUAAUAGGCAGGAUCAACUGUCAAACAAAACUUAUACCAAAUCAAACAUUCAAAAAACGAUAUUGUCUUUUGAGAUUUGUAAAUGGAAUCAUCUUUCUCUUUUCUAGCACCAUCCACACUAUAGCCAUUCAUCAUCAUAAUUGCCACAACAACAACAACUAUAAAAAAUGAAGCAGUGAUGAUUUUUGCCAUAGUAUUUCAAUUAGAAGAAGAUUAUAUAUGCUUCUUGUGUUUUUCUAUUAUUUAAUUUAAUUGCAUGGGAUGAAUAUUUGGUUCCAAAAUCUUUCCAAUUUAUAGGACCAAUGUUUUCUUUAAAUGACAAGCUUAUGAAUUCAAUUCGACUUUGCGUGAGGAUAAUGAUUUUCUUAAAAUUGAACACCAUGUGGAAAGCAUUGGUAUUAAAUUUUGAGCAGCACAUUUUUUAAUAUACACAUUUUAAUAUGUUAUUUUUUUAUGUUUAAAUGUAAUUUUUAGUUAUUUUAUUUUUAUCAAUUUACAAAUUAGGUCCUUUUAUUUUAAAAUCUGAUAAAUUUUAUCUUUCAUUAUAAUUUUUUAACUAAAAAAUAACGAUAUAAUAUGUUUUAAAUGAUAUGACAAAUGAUACGAUAAGGUAAAAUGAUCGAUAGUCAUAAAAUUGCAAUAAAAUUCAAUAAAAAUAUCAUUUUCAACUUCAGAAAUUGUUCAUUUUUGUAACUUAAUUAAUAUCAUAUGAAUAGUUAGUAUAUCUAAAUUAUUCUAUAUCAUUAAAUCAUAUGUUACAUAAUUUAAAUAUAUCAAAUUAUCAUUUCUUAGUUCAAAAUUCUAAAGGAGAGAUCAAAAUUGUCGACUUUUAAAAUAUAGAGACUAAUUUCCAUGAAUUUGUGAAAAUAAAAAGACUAAAAUUACAAGUAAACCUAUUUUUUAUUGGUUGAAAUUAACAUGAUCUAAUUAAAUUUUGUAGAUUAAAAUUUAUGGGAAUUCAUAUGAAUUUUAAUCAAUAAAAUAAAUAUAUUAAAAAAUGUAAAAAAAUGUGAUGUUAUCGUUAUUAAUUUUUGUCAGGUAUGAUUUCCUUUUAUGAUUGUUGUUUAAGGUAUGAUCGACUAGCUUAUUAAUAGAAGGAAAAAAUGACAUAGGGGAAAUUUGCCGUUGGUGGUGGGAAUAUAUAUCAAGCUCAAAGAGCUUUGUGGUAAUAAUUAAUUGAUAUUGGUAGUUGAAUACUAAUUUGCUUUCUAAUUAAGGUGAAGUUAUUGCAUUGUAGAAAAUACUUUGGGUAUGAUUGCUGGAAUUUGUAAAUGAUAUAUAUAUAUAUAUAUAUAUAUAUAUAUAUAUAUAUAUAUAUAUAUAUAUAUAUAUUUAAUGAAAUGUUAAACACCACUAAUAAAUUUAUAUACAAAAUAAAGAUUUUAAAUUCAAAUCAAGAUCACUAUAGAAAAUGUACAAUAAAUUUAAAAGUUUGAAAACUCAUUUUACUUAUAUGAAAUUGAUUUGUAAACUCAACUUGUAAACUCGUACUAGUUUACUUAGUAUAAAAGUAAUAGAAAAACAAUGUGAUUAAUCCAAUUAAGCCCAAAGUAAAAGCAAAUCAAUUAUCGUUUUGUAGUCAAUGUGGAUGAAGGUCUCUAAAAGAAGAUGAAAAAGUAAAUGAGAAAGGAGUAUUGAUAGAAAGAAGCAUAUAUAUUAUUUAAAAUGAUACUUUUAAUUUAAACUAUUUAUUUUAAUCUAACAGUUGAUAAGUGUUCAUAUCAUUGUUAUAAAAAAAAACAUUAAAUAUAUAAACAUUAAAUGUCUCAUAUAAUUAAGGUAGAUGAAAACCGUAUGAGGGGAUUGGUGUGUGAAAUAGGAUUAAUGUUGACUUGUUGAUUUUUUUAUAGAAGUAUUAUAAAUAAAAAAUAAUUAAGUCAAAUGAUGCUAUAGAAUAACAAAUGCAAGCAAAUCGGAAAACACGCGUAGUAUCCUUAUAAUUUUUAAAAUAUUAAUUAAAGAUUUGACUAUCUUUAUAUUUAAAAUGGUCUGAUUGAUAUCAUUUUAAUAAAUUGAAAUUUUUUUAAGAAAAAUUAAUUUUUUCUUUAUUUUUUUUAAACAAAUUUUGAUCAAAUCAUUGUCUCAAUAACAUAGAUCAAAAAGACAAUUAUAAGAAGUAUCGUUGACAUUCACUAAAAUUUUGAGUAAUUUGUAAAUAUUCAUCAACGGUAAAUCAUCUACCGUAGUAUUCCCCAAUCAAAUUCAUGCUUUAACAUUCAUGAACUUUUCCUUCCAUUUAGCUAAUAAAAAUAGAUUGAACAACUCAACAUCCUUUAUAGUGGAAAAUUAAUAAUUCGACAUCUACUUUAUGUUUAUUGAUAAUUGGACAUAUAAUUCAUACAAUCAGAGUUUAAUAGUAAUUUUUUUAUUAAUAAUAAUUAUGAAUCUAUAAUUGAUUAGUUAAUCAGUCAAAUAUAAGUAAAUAUUUUCAAAAAACUCAAUAUCAUAGAACUUGAUUUUGAUUAAACUUUUAAAAUAUAUCUAAUAACUUUUAUUUCUUCAAAUAAAAUUUAACAAAAAAAUUACGAGAACUAUCAUAUUUUAGAUAAAUUUCAAUAUAUUUGAAAGUUUAAUUUCAAGUUAUUAUCAAAUAAAGAUUUAAUCUUUUCAAUGCUAACCAAAAAUAUAAACAUAUGAACGUAUAAGUUAUAUUACUGAAAUCUUUUUAUUUUGUUAGUCGAUUGAUUGAUCUAUAAUAUAUAAAAAUAACAUAAAUAUUCACCGGGGUACUCAAUAUUUGUUGUGUGCUUUCCUAUGGAUGCUUAUAAGUGUUUUUCCUAUGAAUUUGAGAUUUUUGAACAAUCAAACAUUCAAUCUACAUUUAUUGGCAUGUUUUAUCAACACCUACAAUAGCAUUUUCAAAUACACACUCUCUAUAUAUUUUCAAUUUAUGUAAUCAAAUAUUUUAUUAGUUAUAUAGCUACAUCAAUAUACAUAUUAUUUUUACAUAAACUUUUGCUAAAAGACUCCUCAACGAACUCAAAAUUUUAUACAAAAUCAAUCUAAACAAGGAUCAAAUAUUACAAUUAUUAUAAUAUAUAUAGAAAAAUAAUGAGACAAAAGGAUGAAAGAAAUUAUUGAUUGAUUAACAUAGACAUAAUUAUAAGAGUUUUCGAGGAUGGUGAUCAAAUAGGGCAAAUGGCAUGGAACCUUUAAGGGACUAGUUUCGUUUUUUUUUUUCUUUAUUUCUUAUAAUAGAGGGCAAAAAGGCUAGAUAGAGUUAAAAAAAUUAUUAGGUAUUAAAGAGAAAAAGAGAUUACUAGAAUUAGAUAUAAUUAAUUAGAAUAUGUUUACCUCAAAUUCUUUCAUAUGAUUCUUUUUUGUUAUUUAGUUUAAAUAUUUUUAACUUUAUUACACACUAUUUUUUUUAUUAAAAAAAAAGCAUAUAAUUCAUGUUUUUCCAUUUUUUUUUCCUAAAAAUGGUUAUAACUCAUACGACAUUUAAGUAUUAUUAAUAUUAAUUACAGAAAAGGAUAAAACAAAAUCAUAAUGAAAUUAAAUAUAUCAUUCGGUAAAUAAAAAAUAUUAGGUACAUCAAUUAUUAUGUUUUGUAUUAUUUUUAAAUCAUAACAUUAUAAUUUAUAGGCAUAAUUGCUAAUGCGGUCCUUUAACUUAAUUUCAGAUAAUACUUUCAUCCUUUAUCUUUGUUUCCUCUUUUCGAUUUGGUCCUUUAUUUAAUUUUAAGUAUACAAUUUGAUAUUUUAUAUUUUACAAUAUUAAUAAUGUUAUCUUUUUUUUAUAAAAAUUCAUUAAAAUUUUCAAACAAAACUCAUAAAAUUAGUUAUCAUCAUCAAUAUAACGUAAAUUUCAUUAAAUUUAUAAUUUAAAUAUUCAAAUAAAUUCAUAUUUUCAUUCUUUAUAUUUUCAAAUUUUUUACUGUUUAAUUAAGUGUAUUGAUGUGGUGUUGGUCAGAUUUAAUUGCAUUUUAUAACAAUAAAAUAUUAACAUAAGAUUUUCUUUAAAGAAGAGAUUAAAAUUUAUAAUAUUAUAUAAAUUUAAAAGUAGUAAAAUUUAGUAGCGGAUCGGGUUCAGGGACUAUGACGGGACAAAUCAAGAAUUCUAAGAUCAUCCAUCUCUAAAUUUUUAUUUUAAGAAAAAUGUUCACCUAUAUUCCAUCAAAACAAAGUUUCUGUUCAAAAUCGAGACAAGUCCAAAUAAAUAUUGAUAAUGCAUGUUGUGUUCUCACGCUACAUAGAUUUUCUUAUGUCACACUAUGUAAAGCUAAAUAAGAAUUGUUGUGCAAGAGAUAGGGAAAAAUACAAGAAAGUAUAUAAAUUAACUCUAUUUAUUUCAAUUGCAUAUUACCAUAACAUAUAGCACCAUAUUACAAAAUGCAUAUCACAAAAAUAUAAUAGAUAUAUCUAUAAUCCUCGAUUAAUGGAUACAUGUAUCCAAUAAGAGGUAAUUAUUUAGCUAUAAAUAUAGAUAUUAUAAUAAUAUUCUCACACUCACAUUAUAUAAUAUAUAAUAAAACACAAGCCAUGGUGUAACAAUCUCAUUCAUGAUCAUGGAUUGCUUUUAGUUGUUGGAGUAAAAGAAUUAGUAGGAAGGCAAUACGCUUUGUAGAUAUCACAAAAUAAGGGUGGAUCAAUAUUGAGCUCACAAAGUUUUUUCAACUCUGCACAAGAUAUCUGAGAAGGCACAAAUGGAGAUUGAAUUUGAAUAUCGUUCUCUAUUUCACCACCAUAAGCACAAUUGCUAUUUAGAAUUAAUGCCACAACAAGAACAACUAGAACAAAUGAAGUAGUGAUGGUUUUUGCCAUAGUGUAUUAAAAUGAUAUUGCACUUGUUUUAAUUUGUUUUUCUCUUAUUUCUUGGGAUGAAUUGGUUCCUUAAUCACUCCAAUUUAUAGAGCUAAUGUUUUGCAUAAAUGAGAAGUGAAUUUAAUUCGGCUUUGCGUGAGAAUAAUAAUUUUCUUAAAAUUGAAGACCGUUGUGGAACCAUUAAUUUGUAUUAAAUGUUUUUUACGUGUGGUUUCCUUUUAUAUGAUUGUUAUUUAAUGUUGAACGACUAGCUUGUUAAUAGAAGGAAUAUAUCAAGCUCAAAAUCUUUGAGGUAAUUAAUUGAUAUCAAUGUUUGGAAACCUCUUCUCUAAAUUCACUAAGUGAAAUGCUUAAUUAAAAGUCCAUACAGUUAGAAAAGUCUAACAUAGUCGAAUGCAUUUGUUUAAGAUUUUUUUAAGAAUACCAACAUUAUUUUAUUGCAAAAUUACUAAGAUGAAAGUGUACUAUUCAACACUUACCUAUUAGACAAUAUUAUUAUAUAUUAGUAAGGGUAUUUUAGACUUUCAUAUUCUCUUGUAUAUAUACAUAUUAUAAUCCUAUUACAUUUAAGUUUGGUUCAUUUGUUUGUCAAACCCUAGUCAAGGGUUCUUUCUCUUCUCCCUUUCUCUUUUUCCUCUUCUAUGUUUAUGUUAGAUUAUCAUUGUUAACAUGGUAUUAAAGAGCUUUGAUUGAUUAUGGGAUCUACUCUAAAGUGGGAUCUAUUGUGCCACCCGUUUUGCGGCCGAUACCGAUUUACUUCCUCUAUUUUCCGGCGCGAUUCUACCUCUCUAAUUCUGGUUCGAUUCUGCUAUUUUGUCUUCAGCGCGAUUCUGCUCUUCUGUUUCUGGCGUGGUUCUGCUCUUCUGUCUUCGACACGAUUUUGUUUGAUUCUUUGUUGAUUCUGCUAUUGACAGGUUAUCCCUAAUUUGUUGUCUCAGUGAUUGCGUUUUUCGUAUUUUCUUGUCAUUAUUUGUUAUGGCUGGUGCUAAGGAUGAUUCACUUCAAGUUGUUAGUGUCAAUCUCAAUGAAAAAAAUUACUCUUAUUGAAGUUAUGUGAUGAAAAAAAAUUGAUUGGAAAAGAUAUGUAGAGUUAAGUUGAUGGAACUUCUGUUAAGCUUGCAGAUAAAAAGGAUGAAGCUAAAUAUGCAAAAGAUCUUAAACAGAGAAUGUUAGUAAUUCAAGAAUUAUUACUUAGAUUAAUAAUUUUGUUGAGUUGUCUAUAGGAGUGCAACUAGCAAAUAUGAUACUGCUAAAGAGAUUUUGGAUCACUUGAAACAUUUGUAUGUUCAGUCUAACUUUGUCAAACGUUAUCAGCUGAAAAGUGAUAUUAGGGCCCUUAAGUAGAACAAUAUGACCAUUCAGAAAUUCUACUCGACAAUGACUAAUUGUGGGAUCAAUUGACUCUUAUAGAAUUAAAUGACUAAUUUGUUGAUUCUGCUAUUAACAGGUUAUCCCUAAUUUAUUUUAUCUCAGUGAUUGUGUUUGUCGUAUUUUCCUGUCAUUAUUUGUUAUGGUUGGUGCUAAGGAUGAUUCUCUUCAAGUUGUUAGUGUCCACCUCAACGAACAAAAUUACUCUUAUUGAAGUUAUGUGAUGAAAAAAAAUUUGAUUGGAAAAGAUAUGUGGAGUUAAGUUGAUGGAACUUUUGUUAAGCUUACAGAUAAAAAGGAUGAAGCUAAAUAUGCAAAAGGUCUUAAACAGAGAAUGUUAGUAAUUCAAGAAUUAUUACUUAGAUUAAUAAUUUUGUUGAGUUGUCUAUAGGAGUGCAACUAGCAAAUAUGAUACUGCUAAAGAGAUUUUGGAUCACUUGAAACAUUUGUAUGUUCAGUCUAACUUUGUCAACCGUUAUCAGCUGAAAAGUGAUAUUAAGGCCCUUAAGUAGAACAAUAUGACCAUUCAGAAAUUCUACUCGACAAUAAAUAAUUUGUGGGAUCAAUUGACUCUUAUAGAAUUAAAUGACUAAUUUGUUGAUUAUGCUAUUAACAGGUUAUCCCUAAUUUAUUUUAUCUCAUUGAUUGUGUUUGUCGUAUUUUCCUGUCAUUAUUUGUUAUGGUUGGUGCUAAGGAUGAUUAUCUUCAAGUUGUUAGUGUCCACCUCAACGAACAAAAUUACUCUUAUUGAAGUUAUGUGAUGAAAAAAAAUUUGAUUGGAAAAGAUAUGUGGAGUUAUGUUGAUGGAACUUAUGUUAAGCCUACAAAUAAAAAGGAUGAAGCUAAAUAUGCAAAAGAUCUUAAACAGAGAAUGUUAGUAAUUCAAGAAUUAUUACUUAGAUUAAUAAUUUUGUUGAGUUGUCUAUAGGAUUGCAACUAGCAAAGUAUGAUACUGCUAAAGAGAUUUUGGAUCACUUGAAACAUUUGUAUGUUCAGUCUAACAUUGCCAAACGUUAUCAGUUGGAAAGUGAUAUUAGGGCCCUUAAGCAGAACAAUAUGACCAUUCAGGAAUUCUACUCGGCAAUGACUAAUUUUUGGGAUCAAUUGGCUCUUAUAUAAUCAACUGAGUUGAAAGCUGUCAAAGCGUACAUUGAUCUAAGGAAGGAGCAACGUCUGGUUUGGUUUCUUAUGGCUCUUUAUGAUGAUUUUGAGGGCUUUCGUGGGGGUAUUUUGCAUCGUUCCCCUCUUUCUAAUGUUGAAUCAAUAGUUAGUUAAUUGUUGGCAAGGUUUAAGACUCAUUCUGGUUGUCAGAUAAAGGAAUUCUCUCAAUUCCUCCAUCUAUUUUUGUUGCUCCUGUUCAAAAAGGAAAAUCUCAAGGGAGGGUUGGGUUUGGUAAUGAUGAAUGUACAUUUUGCAAAGAAAAAGAUCAUUAGAAAACAAAUUAUCUUAAAUUAGGGAGAUCACAUAAGAAGAAUUUUAGGCGGCCAUCGUCCAAUGUUGUUGCUUUUGCUCCUCAUAUCAUUGGCUCUAGUUCUAAUUUUGUAUACUCAUCUGAGAUUGCUUCUCAAAUAUAUGAUAUUGUAGAACAACUUCAAAAACUUAUUACCACUCAAUCACAUGCCAUGUAUGCCACCUAUUCUAAAGGUUUGAACUCCUCUAGUAUGUCAGGUAUAUCUCCUUCCAUAUGGAUUAUUGAUUCUGGAGCAUCUCACCAUAUGACAUAUGAUGAUAAAUCUUCUGUGUCGGUUAUGACUGCUGAUGGUACUCAUAUGCCAUUAGCAGGCAUUGGUUAUGUCUCCACGCCUUACUUGUCUCUUUCUGAUGUUUAUUAUAUUCCUAAUCUCACUAUGAUUCUUGCCUCUGUUAGUCAAAUAUGUGAUAUCAAUUAUUCAGUUAUAUUUUCUGCCACUUGUUGUUGUGUGCAGGAUCCACAUUCCAAGAGGCUGGUUGGGACAUGCCAUAGACAAGGGGAAAUUUAUAUUUUGGAUGACCCAUGAGUCCUAGAUACUACAGCCUCAACAACUACUACUGACUUAUUUUCUAGUUUUCGCUUGAAUUCUUCGUCUUCUAGUUUUUAUUUAUGGCAUUCUCACCUUGGACAUGUUUCUGCUUCUAGAUUAAAAUAUUUGGUUUUUACUGGAGCUUUAGGAGAGUUACAAACUAGUGAUAUUUCAUAUUGUUGUGGUUUUAAACUUGUUAAAUUUACAGCUUUACCGUUUAGUAAAAGUGUGUCAGUUUCAUAUGCGCCUUUUGAUUUAGUUCAUUCUGAUGUUUGGGGUCCAUCACCGGUUCUCACCAAAGGUGGAUCUAGAUAUUAUAUUUCAUUUAUUGAUGAUUACACUCGUUAUUGUUGGGUUUAUCUGAUAAAAAUUCGAUCUAAAUUUCUUGACAUUUAUCAUAUGUUUCGUGGUAUGGUCAAGACUCAACAUAAUACUACUAUAAAGUGUUUUCGCUGUGAUUUAAGUGGUGAAUAUACAUCUAAUAAAUUUUCCAAAUUACUUGAUUAUGAUGGCACCAUCCACUUGUCAUUUUGUACUGAUACUCCUCAACAAAAUAGAGUUGGUCAAAAGAAACAUCGUCAUAUUAUUGAGACUGCUCGUUCUCUUUUGUUGUAUGCUUCAGUUCCUAGUGAGUUUUAGGGGAAACAGUUCUUACUGAUGUUCAUGCUAUUAAUAGAAUUCCAUCAUAUGUCAUAUCAAGUUUAUCUCCCUUUGAAAAAUUGUAUGAUUUUAUCUCUGAUUACUAUUCUCUGAAAUUUUUUGAUUCUACUUGUUUUGUUCUUCGUCCACCAAUAGAGCACAAUAAGUUGUCUUCUUGGUCUGCCAUGUGUGUUUUUCUCGGUUAUGAGGAUGGUUAAAAGGGUUAUCGUUGUUAUGAUCCUCAUGCAAGAAAACUAUAUGUUUCUCGCAAUAUUGUUUUUCUUGAGCACAUCUAUUUUUACUUUGUUUCCUUUGAUUCUUAGAUUAUUAAGAGUUCAGAACUAACCUAUAUUGAUUCGUUUGGUUCUAAUGAUAAUGUUUCUAGUGAUUGUAAUAUUGAGAAUUGCAUGAAAAAUACUACUACUCCACAUGAUGACACCCCCUUAUCCCCCCAUCUGUCAAACCACCUCCUACGAUUGUUGAUCGUCCAUCUCAGCCUCUUCGUUAUCCCUCUUGUCACUGUAAAUCUACUCAGUUACUUGAUUUUGUCUAUUGCACUUAUUCAGCUUCAUUUGCUUCUUUCUUAACCUUUAUUCACAGUUUGUUUAAGCCAUAUUCCUAUAAGGAGGUUAUUCUUGAUCCUCUUUGGCAGCAUGUUAUGGCAAAAGAACUCUCUGCAUUGCACAAAAUAGGUACUUGGGAAUUAAUAGCUCUUCCUCCUAGAAAGUGUGCUAUUGGGUAUCGUUGGGUAUACAAGAUUAAAAUUAAGUCUGAUGAGUCGGUUGAGCGCUAUAAAACACGUCUUAUUGUUAAGGGAUUCUCUCAACAAUAUGAUAUGGAUUAUGAAGAAAAUUUUGCUCUUGUAGCCAAGAUGACCAAUAUCCGUACUCUUAUUGCAAUUGCAUCUAUACAUCAAUGGCAUAUUUCUCAAAUGGAUGUCAAAAAUGCAUUUUUAAAUGGUGAACUUCAUGAAGAAGUCUAUAUGGUCCCUCCACACGGGGUUUCUCAUAAUCAAGGGGAAAUGUGUAAGUUAAAAAAGAAUAUCUACAGUCUUAAACAGACUCCUCGAGCUUGGUUUGAGAAAUUAUGUAUUGUGAUCACUUGGUCUUAAACAGACAUUGUCUCUCGCUCUUCUACAGAAGUUGAGUAUUGUGUUAUGACAUCCACUACUGCUGAAAUAAUUUGAUUGUGUUGGCUUCUAUCUGAUAUCGGUAUCUCUCUUUUUGAGCCAACUCCAAUGCACUGCGAUAACAAGAGUGAUAUUCAAAUUACUCAUAACUCGGUCUUUCAUGAACACACCAAACACAUUGAGAUUGAUUUUCAUCUUACCCGCCAUCAUCUUCAGCAUGAAACCAUUACUCUACCAUUUGUCUCUUCUUCCUUACAGAUUGCUGAUUUAUUCACAAAGAUGCAUUCCAUUAAAAGUUUUCGAUUUUUGGUUGACAAACUCUCGAUGUUUCAUGUUAAUGCAUUGUGAGUUUGAGAGGAGAUAUUAUAUAAUAUCAUUAUAUAUUAGUAACGGUAUUUUAGACUUUUAUAUUCUCUUGUAUAUAUACAUAUUGUAAUCUUAUUACAUUUAAGUUUGGUUCAUUUGUUUAUGAGACUCUAACCAAUGGUGCCUUCUCUUCUCCCUUUCUCUUCUUCCUCUUCUAUGUUUAUGUUAGAUUAUCAUUGUUAAUGUAUUUGUUUAAGAUUUUUCAAGAAUACCAACAACAUUUUAUGGCAAAAUUCUUUAUUUUUAGUCAAGUUUUUUCUUUUUAGUCAAGGCGUUCAAAAUAAACAAAUGCAAGCAAGAUCUUGGAUGAAAGUGUACUAUUCAACACUUAUCAACAACAACAAAAUAGCAAAAAAAUUAUUUCUAAAAAAAAUCUAUGAUUAGAUUCUCAUCUAGAAGUCUUAAUGGUCAAGGAAUUGCACAUAAAAUUUCGAUAAAUAACUAAUAAAAACGUAAGAGAAGAUCUUACACAAAAAGUAAACUCGAUUCAAUACCUAUUACAACAAAAAGAAAAGUAUUAUUCAUGUUUCAAAUGAAAAAUAAAUCUUUCAAAAAAAAUUUAACCAAUUUAUUUCAAUAUUUCAAAUUCUUUUUAGUGGAUAUACAUUGUAUUAUUCUUCUCAAAUUAGAAGUGUUGCAGACACCUUUUAAUUAUUGUAUUAUUCAUCCAAGUUAUAAGUAUUGCAAACAUCUUAUACUUACUAUUAAAUAGAAAUUAGUUAUUUUAAAGUACGUAUAUAAAUUUCAUUAUUAUAACUUAUAUUAGACCCAUCAUGAUUCGGAGCUUAUCGACAAUCAUAUCAACCGUCCAAUACACAAAGUUUCAUAAGAAUUUAUCAAUAUUUUAAUAAUGCUUUAACAUGAUUGGUUAGCUUUGUCAAAAGAAAUAUAAUCAAUUAACGAAUGAAUAGGAUCAUUACUAAUUUUAUGGCGUAAUUUGAUAACUUAUUGUUGGCACGUAUAAACACAUACACAAUUCUUGUGAAUUGUGAUACAUGAGAAAACGAGUUAUGUUAUACAAUAAGUAUAGAUUGUGAUCAUAUUUAAAGUUCAGAAAAAUCAUUCAAAAUGACUUGUGACUGGAGAUUCAAAAUGACGCAUGUGGAAUACCAAAUAUGCCUUUAAUACGAAGUGUUGUUGCUACAUCUUGUUAGUUAAACAAAUUAUUUUACAAUUUAUUCGUUAACUAAGUAUAAGUUUUUUGUUUUUGUCCAUUAUUAGAUUGCAUUAUUAGAAUUGUGACGUUUUUCAAUCAAUAUAGUUAUGUGUUUGAGCUUUGUAACAAAAUUUUGAUGUGCCUUUGUUUGUCUUUCAGGAUAGUUAUCAUGCGAUUUGUUGAAGUGUGCUCAUGGAAUAGGAAGAUUUUCAUUAAAGACUUAACAUGUAAGUGAUUAAUUGAUUCAUCAUAAUUCACUUGUUUGUUCUUAUUUUCUGCUCACAUAUACUAUAUACUAUUUUCAUUUUACUCUUUUUAUAUGUUUAAUUUAUCUUAUUCUAGUGAUGGGAGAGUUUAAAUUUAUACGUUUUCCUCUUAGUAAUUAAGCUACGUGAAAAUAUAUUUUACAAUUUACACAAUCGUUCAAUCUUAUUUUAUCUUAUUAUUACUUCAUUUUGUUAUAUUAAAAAUUAUAUGUACAUAUAGUAAGAUGUAAUUGGAUGCAUGUAAAAAAAAUUGUUUUACACUUACCAUACAUAUCAUUAAUGUUUUCCAUCAUCAAUUCCUUUUGUAUAAUAGAAGAGAUUUAUUUUUCAUUACUAUUUAUGUCCUUAAAUAUAGGAUCUCAUUUACUAAAUUACAUAAUUAAAAUAGUAAAUAGUAGUAUUAAAUUUAUAAAUAAUUAAUAUUGUUUUUACAUGUUUACUCUUG